AUUGAACGCUGGCGGCGUGCUUAACACAUGCAAGUCGUGCGGUAACAGGCGUAGCAAUACGUGCUGACGAGCGGCGAACGGGUGCGUAAUACAUGGGAAUCUGCCUUUUAGUGGGGAAUAACCCGGCGAAAGCCGGGCUAAUGCCGCAUAAGAUCUUCGGAUGAAAGCGGGGGAUCGUAAGACCUCGCGCUGAUAGAUGAGCCCAUGCCGGAUUAGCUAGUUGGUGAGGUAACGGCUCACCAAGGCGACGAUCCGUAGCUGGUCUGAGAGGACGGCCAGCCACACUGGGACUGAGACACGGCCCAGACUCCUACGGGAGGCAGCAGUGGGGAAUAUUGGACAAUGGGGAAACCCUGAUCCAGCGACGCCGCGUGUGUGAAGAAGGCCU
Molecule: ribosomal RNA, 388 nt
Filed under: uncultured bacterium
Lineage: Bacteria
Description: bacterial SSU rRNA
Rfam family: Bacterial small subunit ribosomal RNA
Source: RNAcentral